RNAcentral lists this ribosomal RNA (323 nucleotides) under uncultured bacterium. RNAcentral's name for it is "bacterial SSU rRNA". It matches the Rfam family "Bacterial small subunit ribosomal RNA", at positions 28 to 334 of the family's 1533-position model. The record is from RNAcentral.
GAUGAACGCUGGCGGCGUGCACAACACAUUCAAGUCGAACGGAGCUUUUGGAAUUAAUCCUUCGGGAAGCGUUUUGAAGGCUUAGUGGCGGACGGGUGAGUAACGCGUGAGCAACCUGCCUCUGCAUGGGGGAUAACGUUUGGAAACGGACGCUAAUACCUCAUAACACAAGGAUAUCGCAUGAUGACCUUGUCAAAGAUUUAUUGUGCAGAGAUGGGCUCGCGUCUGAUUAGGUAGUUGGUGAGGUAACGGCCCACCAAGCCGACGAUCAGUAGCCGGACUGAGAGGUUGAACGGCCACAUUGGAACUGAGAUACGGUCCAG